GAUGAAGAACGCAGCAAAAUGCGAUAAGUAAUGUGAAUUGCAGAAUUCAGUGAAUCAUCGAAUCUUUGAACGCACAUUGCGCCCGCUGGUAUUCCGGCGGGCAUGCCUGUUCGAGCGUCAUUUCAACCCUCAAGCCCCCGGGUUUGGUGUUGGGGAUCGGCUCUGCCCUUCUGGGCGGUGCCGCCCCCGAAAUACAUUGGCGGUCUCGCUGCAGCCUCCAUUGCGUAGUAGCUAACACCUCGCAACUGGAACGCGGCGCGGCCAUGCCGUGAAACCCCAACUUCUGAAUGUUGACCUCGGAUCAGGUAGGAAUACCCGCUGAACUUAAGCAUAUCAAUAAGCGGAGGA
This 348-nucleotide unclassified non-coding RNA is filed under the name soil metagenome. RNAcentral's name for it is "partial contains 5.8S ribosomal RNA, internal transcribed spacer 2, and large subunit ribosomal RNA". The stretch from base 1 to 120 matches the Rfam family "5.8S ribosomal RNA", at positions 35 to 154 of the family's 154-position model. The record is from RNAcentral.